GAUGAAGAACGUAGUGAAAUGCGAUAAGUAAUGUGAAUUGCAGAAUUCAGUGAAUCAUCGAAUCUUUGAACGCACAUUGCGCCCGCCAGUAUUCUGGCGGGCAUGCCUGUUCGAGCGUCAUUACAACCCUCAGGCCCCCGGGCCUGGCGUUGGGGAUCGGCGGAGCCCCCCGUGGGCACACGCCGUCCCCCAAAUGCAGUGGCGGUCCCGCCGCAGCUUCCAUCGCGUAGUAGCUAACACCUCGCGACUGGAGAGCGGCGCGGCCACGCCGUAAAACACCCAACUCUUCUGAAGUUGACCUCGAAUCAGGUAGGAAUACCCGCUGAACUUAAGCAUAUCAAAAGCGGAGGA
RNAcentral lists this unclassified non-coding RNA (351 nucleotides) under soil metagenome. Its description in RNAcentral is "partial contains 5.8S ribosomal RNA, internal transcribed spacer 2, and large subunit ribosomal RNA". The stretch from base 1 to 120 matches the Rfam family "5.8S ribosomal RNA", at positions 35 to 154 of the family's 154-position model. The record is from RNAcentral.